RNAcentral lists this long non-coding RNA (931 nucleotides) under Nicotiana tabacum (common tobacco). RNAcentral's name for it is "long non-coding RNA (NTAB_LNC001647)". The record is from RNAcentral. Lineage: Eukaryota; Viridiplantae; Streptophyta; Magnoliopsida; Solanales; Solanaceae.
AGAUCACACACUCCCGAACAAAUUUAUUGUAUUCCCUUUUUUUCCUUCAUAUAACACGUUUUGAACCAAAAGAAAUUUAUAAGAAAAAGGGGCUAUUGGAUAAGAGAGCAAGAGUCAUCUGUACAUGGUAAGGUUAACCAGAAGAGGACCAUAAGCUCUUCAGUCAAAUUUGAUCUAUAGAUUAACGAAAAUGAACGACAACAGCCAGCAACCAAGAUAAGAUCAAAGAAAUAGCAGAUUUACAAUGGAGAUAGUAACUUUGCGAUAUUAAUUUCCAAGCUCAAGGAACCCAAAAGUAUUUUCGCCACUGUAUGUCAUGUAGAGAAAUCCAUCCUCAUCCUUAUUUUCCUCAUAUAUUGCAGACAACAGAGCAGCUGCAACGAAAGAAGAUGCAAUUAUACAACUAUCAGAAUAAGUAAAAGACCUACAUAAUCUCUCUUCUUACCCGUGGGAGGCAAAGUGUUGUUGACAAAGACAAAUAUGGCCUUCUCAGCACUGAGCUUGAUCCUCUUCCGAACCACAUAAACAAACUGGCCGACAGUCAAAUCAGCUGGAACAAGGUAUCUGCAUCACAAGGUAAGACANNNNNNNNNNNNNNNNNNNNNNNNNUUUUUUCCCUUCAUAUAACCACGUUUGAACCAAAAGAAAUUAUAAGAAAAAGGGGCUAUUGGAUAAGAGAGCAAGAGUCAUCUGUACAUGGUAAGGUUAACCAGAAGAGGACCAUAAGCUCUUCAGUCAAAUUUGAUCUAUAGAUUAACGAAAAUGAACGACAACAGCCAGCAACCAAGAUAAGAUCAAAGAAAUAGCAGAUUUACAAUGGAGAUAGUAACUUUGCGAUAUUAAUUUCCAAGCUCAAGGAACCCAAAAGUAUUUUCGCCACUGUAUGUCAUGUAGAGAAAUCCAUCCUCAUCCUUAUUUUCCUCAUAUAUUG